AUUGAACGCUGGCGGCAGGCCUAACACAUGCAAGUCGAGCGGGUGAAGGGAGCUUGCUCCUGGAUUCAGCGGCGGACGGGUGAGUAAUGCCUAGGAAUCUGCCUGGUAGUGGGGGAUAACGUCCGGAAACGGGCGCUAAUACCGCAUACGUCCUGAGGGAGAAAGUGGGGAUUCUUCGAACCCACGGCUAUAGAUUGACCCUAGGUCGGAUUAGCUAGUUGGUGGGGUAAAGGCCUACCAAGGCGACGAUCCGUAACUGGUCUGAGAGGAUGAUCAGUCACACUGGAACUGAGACACGGUCCAGACUCCUACGGGAGGCAGCAGUGGGGAAUAUUGGACAAUGGGCGAAAGCCUGAUCCAGCCAUGCCGCGUGUGUGAAGAAGGUCUUCGGAUUGUAAAGCACUUUAAGUUGGGAGGAAGGGCAGUAAGUUAAUACCUUGCUGUUUUGACGUUACCAACAGAAUAAGCACCGGCUAACUUCGUG
This 484-nucleotide ribosomal RNA is filed under the name uncultured bacterium. RNAcentral describes it as "partial 16S ribosomal RNA". It matches the Rfam family "Bacterial small subunit ribosomal RNA", at positions 30 to 507 of the family's 1533-position model. The record is from RNAcentral.